UACGGGGGGGGCAAGCGUUGUUCGGAAUUACUGGGCGUAAAGGGCGCGUAGGCGGCCUGCUAAGUCGGAGGUGAAAUCCCUCGGCUCAACCGAGGAACUGCAUCCGAUACUGGCGGGCUUGAAUCCGGGAGAGGGAUGUGGAAUUCCAGGUGUAGCGGUGAAAUGCGUAGAUAUCUGGAGGAACACCGGUGGCGAAGGCGGCAUCCUGGACCGGUAUUGACGCUGAGGCGCGAAAGCUAGGGGAGCAAACGGG
Molecule: ribosomal RNA, 253 nt
Filed under: uncultured bacterium
Lineage: Bacteria
Description: partial 16S ribosomal RNA
Rfam family: Bacterial small subunit ribosomal RNA
Source: RNAcentral